Molecule: non-coding RNA, 196 nt
Filed under: Acetitomaculum ruminis DSM 5522
Lineage: Bacteria; Bacillati; Bacillota; Clostridia; Lachnospirales; Lachnospiraceae
Source: RNAcentral
AAUAACUUAUUUUUCGAGAGGUGGAAUGAUUGGGUAACGCCAAAAACGCCUCCUUUGAUACUUCGAAUAGCGUCUUUUUUUGCACAAAAAGGGGUUAUAAGCUCGAUAAAGGCGGCUGAGAGUCACCCUAACGUAUAAUGGCGAGGAAAUGCGAACCAGAGGUGGUCGAGUGAAUGAUAGGCCGGAAGUCUAAAAA